This 431-nucleotide ribosomal RNA is filed under the name Clostridioides difficile. Its description in RNAcentral is "partial 23S ribosomal RNA". It matches the Rfam family "Bacterial large subunit ribosomal RNA", at positions 2492 to 2925 of the family's 2925-position model. The record is from RNAcentral. Lineage: Bacteria; Bacillati; Bacillota; Clostridia; Peptostreptococcales; Peptostreptococcaceae.
CCAAGAGUCCACAUCGACGGGGAGGUUUGGCACCUCGAUGUCGGCUCAUCACAUCCUGGGGCUGUAGUAGGUCCCAAGGGUUGGGCUGUUCGCCCAUUAAAGUGGUACGCGAGCUGGGUUCAGAACGUCGUGAGACAGUUCGGUCCCUAUCCGUCGCAGGCGUAGGAAAUUUGAGAAGACCUGUCCUUAGUACGAGAGGACCGGGAUGGACGUACCUCUGGUGUACCAGUUGUCCUGCCAAGGGCAUGGCUGGGUAGCUAUGUACGGAAUGGAUAAGCGCUGAAAGCAUCUAAGCGCGAAGCCAACUUCAAGAUAAGAUUUCCCACCGCAAGGGUAAGACCCCAGAAAGACUAUCUGGUUGAUAGGUCGAAGGUGUAAGUGCAGCAAUGUAUUUAGCUUAUCGAUACUAAUAGGUCGAGGACUUGACCAAU